This is a long non-coding RNA of Prosopis cineraria, 361 nucleotides long. RefSeq lists it as uncharacterized. The transcript is spliced from 3 exons. NCBI's taxonomy places the organism in Eukaryota, Viridiplantae, Streptophyta, Magnoliopsida, Fabales, Fabaceae. The record is from RefSeq and is a predicted model, not a curated record.
AGGAAAUUGCAACUUUUGGCCCAAAGGUUUGAAUAAUUAAAUUCAAACCUAUAGUUUUUUUUUCUAAUAUAAUUUUGGGACCACAAUCCCAUUUUUAUAUUAUUUUUCUCUCUUCCUCUCACGUUGCUCGGCGUUUUUCUCACAAGGGAAAUUAUUUUCUUUUCUUCAGAUUAUAUUGACAAAGAUAGUGGUGAAAAAGGAGUUGUGAAGGGGAACUUGUUAUUCAAGACACAAGGAACGAAUCCGGCCGAGAAAGCACCAGAGGUGUAAUUAUGGUGUAUGAGACACCAUCUUUUACGUUGCCUCUUAUUUUGGAUUAUACAAUGUAUCUUGUGCCAACUUAGGACAUAUCUUAUUUGUG